AAGUCGUAACAAGGUAACCGUAGGUGAACCUGCGGUUGGAUCAUUACUGAUUUUGCCAAGGUUAGUCGAGUCUCUUUUAGAGAUUCCUUUCCAAGGUAAUAUACCACUGUGCACUAUGCUGUAUUUUGGGUGAUUGGGGCUAGUACUCGACACCCAGCAUCAUAUGAACCAAUGAAAUUUUUUGUCUGAAAUCGAUUCUAAAUUGAAACAACUUUUGACAACGGAUCUCUUGGCUCUC
Molecule: unclassified non-coding RNA, 238 nt
Filed under: fungal sp.
Lineage: Eukaryota; Fungi
Also listed under: 1 other name
Description: partial internal transcribed spacer region
Rfam family: Eukaryotic small subunit ribosomal RNA (bases 1-46)
Source: RNAcentral